UAAUAGGUGGGGACAACCUGGUGAAAACCAGGCUAAUACCGCAUACGCCCGUACGGGGAAGGCGGGGGAUCUUCGGACCUCGCGCUAUUAGAUGAGCCUGCGUUAGAUUAGCUAGUUGGUGGGGUAAAGGCUCACCAAGGCGACGAUCUAUAGCUGGUCUGAGAGGAUGAUCAGCCACACUGGGACUGAGACACGGCCCAGACUCCUACGGGAGGCAGCAGUGGGGAAUAUUGCGCAAUGGGCGAAAGCCUGACGCAGCCAUACCGCGUGUGUGAAGAAGGGUUUAGGCUCGUAAAGCACUUUAAGUAGGGAGGAAGGCCUAAAGUUUAAUACGCUUUAGGAUUGACGUUACCUACAGAAUAAGCACCGGCUAACUCCGUG
This 381-nucleotide ribosomal RNA is filed under the name uncultured bacterium. Its description in RNAcentral is "bacterial SSU rRNA". It matches the Rfam family "Bacterial small subunit ribosomal RNA", at positions 131 to 507 of the family's 1533-position model. The record is from RNAcentral.